GAGGCAGCCAGCAUCGCUGCGUCCCGCGUACCAGUCUUUCACCACAACUUUUGGCUGGGUUGUAUCCAUCAGCUCUUCCCAGUAGCCCUCAGCUCUAAGGUCAAUGACCUGAGACUUUCGACACCACUCAUAAGAUGUAACAAAGUAUUUAUGGACUUCUUCACUAGGGAAUUCUUUUCCAAAGUCCCCAGGGAGCUCUUCAAUUUUCCAGCCGUCACCUCCAUUCUCUACCUCUCCCCA
RNAcentral lists this long non-coding RNA (240 nucleotides) under Gallus gallus (chicken). Lineage: Eukaryota; Metazoa; Chordata; Aves; Galliformes; Phasianidae. The record is from RNAcentral.